CUUAGGCACUCAGCUCAGCUCCCACUGCAGGUCAAGCCUCUUUCUAAGGGAGGAGAUGUGCAGGGUGGUACAAAACUAGUCCAGCUCCCUCCCCUAGGCACAGAAGCUCUCUGCCAGUUCUGCAGCACCUAGGAACCCAGUAACUAUGCAGGGGAGGACUCCUAGUGCCCAGUCCUGUCUUUGCUUCUGCACAGGGUGUUCUCCCCACAUGCCCAGGGAACCCCGUGGGACCAAGGCUGUGAUUCCCUGUGUGCUUCCAAGAACCCUAGCAGGAGCACAAGGUCUUGCUCAUCCCAGGCUGUCUCGUGGGACUGGAAGGGAAACCAAGGACCCUGCGGUGUUUUGGACAUGAUGAGGCGCAUUGUAGAAGGCUGAAGAGUCAAGCAAUCGUAACCCUAGAGGGGAAGUGGCACUUUCUCCAACUCCAGGAAAAUGAUCUUAGCAAAGCAGGAAGGCAUCUGGGGCCCCGGGCUCCUGGAAUCAGGUGUGCACUGAGCAAACCCUGCUUAAAGGAGGCUUUUCUGUAUUUUUCUUCUCACCACAUCCUCCUCUUCUACCUUCAAGUGAAAGCAGGAAGAGUAAAUAAAAAAGAAGGGAGUGUCAGAGACUCCCGGCAUCUGUACUGCGCAGUUUUUGUUGGAGUGGUGGCGGUGGAAAGCUCCGCAGCAGCAUUUCUGACCUCUACCCACUAAUGCCAGUAGCAAUCCCUCCAGCGGGCAGAACCAAAAUGCCAAGAGUCUCCACAAGUUGCCAUAUUUCCCCUAAGGACAGACUACACCUCGCAUUAAGAGCUCUGACUAGAGUUGCAGCCAGGAGGGUGGGCACUGUCUGAAGAGGUAGGGAUGGUCUUUUGUGUUUAUCUAAUAGUUUAUAAUUUACGGAGCAUUUUCCUGCACCUCUGCUCAUGUAUUUCCCAUUACUAUUUGUUUUGGGCUACUUUACGCUUCCCUUCUCAAUUUAAAUGUUGCACUUUUAACUUGCACUACCUCAAAAAGUGACUUAUUUGGGUCUUUAAAGAGAUAAUUAAGAUAGGUGUGUUAGGAGAUUCCUGUAAUCUUAGCAUGUGGGGAGACUGAGGCAGGAAGAUCAUAAAUAGUGACAUAGGGAGACACUGUCAAAAUAAAAAGAAUUUUAACAAAAGAACUGAGGAUGUAACUCAGUGCAAAGGCCUUGGAUUAAAAAAAUAUAGUCAUCUAGUGACAGUUUUAACCAUACAAAUAAGUCAUACAGUGGGUGCUAAUCUAACAAAAUCAAAAUCUUUGUAAGAGGAAAUUAGGACCUCUUUCUAAGGGUCAGACAGAAAAGAUUUUUCUACUGAGAGAAAUGGUUGGUUUCUUCCUUUAUGAUCAGCAUAAAAGGCAACAGAACCUCCUUUGAACAUAACUUUUUAUUUACUAAGGUUGAUUCUUCAUUUAUUUUGUUAGUAACAACCUGGGUGAUGCUAACCACUCACUCUUACUCAUCAGAGGUAGAAGAGAUAUUCAUGGAUGAAGUUUUAGAAAAUUUUUUCUAAUCAUUUCUUUCCCUGGCUUUUAUUUCAGGAAAAAAAUUUCUCCAUUGUCUGUGUUUCUUUCAGUGUUCGUUUCCAUUUUUCAGAAUUUCUUGUGAAAAAAAUGCAGAUUUGUACAUUUCAAUAAAACAGAACUUUUGUCCCUGGUAAACAGAACACCACACCCACUAA
Molecule: long non-coding RNA, 1681 nt
Organism: Cavia porcellus (domestic guinea pig)
Lineage: Eukaryota; Metazoa; Chordata; Mammalia; Rodentia; Caviidae
Exons: 2
Source: RefSeq, a predicted model, not a curated record